Molecule: ribosomal RNA, 926 nt
Filed under: uncultured organism
Description: bacterial SSU rRNA
Rfam family: Bacterial small subunit ribosomal RNA
Source: RNAcentral
UGGAUCCAGACUUUGAUUCUGGCUCAGGAUGAACGCUAGCUACAGGCUUAACACAUGCAAGUCGAGGGGAAACGACAUCGAAAGCUUGCUUUUGAUGGGCGUCGACCGGCGCACGGGUGAGUAACGCGUAUCCAACCUGCCCAUCACUUGGGAAUAACCUUGCGAAAGUAAGACUAAUACCCAAUGAUAUCCCAUGAAGACAUCUGAAUGGGAUUAAAGAUUUAUCGGUGAUGGAUGGGGAUGCGUCUGAUUAGCUUGUUGGCGGGGUAACGGCCCACCAAGGCAACGAUCAGUAGGGGUUCUGAGAGGAAGGUCCCCCACAUUGGAACUGAGACACGGUCCAAACUCCUACGGGAGGCAGCAGUGAGGAAUAUUGGUCAAUGGGCGAGAGCCUGAACCAGCCAAGUAGCGUGCAGGAUGACGGCCCUAUGGGUUGUAAACUGCUUUUAUAAGGGAAUAAAGUGAGUCUCGUGAGACUUUUUGCAUGUACCUUAUGAAUAAGGACCGGCUAAUACCGUGCCAGCAGCCGCGGUAAUACGGAAGGUCCGGGCGUUAUCCGGAUUUAUUGGGUUUAAAGGGAGCGUAGGCCGGAGAUUAAGCGUGUUGUGAAAUGUAGAGGCUCAACCUCUGCACUGCAGCGCGAACUGGUCUUCUUGAGUACGCACAACGUGGGCGGAAUUCGUGGUGUAGCGGUGAAAUGCUUAGAUAUCACGAAGAACUCCGAUUGCGAAGGCAGCUCACGGGAGCGCAACUGACGCUGAAGCUCGAAAGUGCGGGUAUCGAACAGGAUUAGAUACCCUGGUAGUCCGCACGGUAAACGAUGGAUGCCCGCUGUUGGCCUGAAUAGGUCAGCGGCCAAGCGAAAGCAUUAAGCAUCCCACCUGGGGAGUACGCCGGCAACGGUGCAACUCAAAGGAAUUGACGGA